Xiphophorus hellerii (green swordtail) is the source of this 2140-nucleotide long non-coding RNA. RefSeq lists it as uncharacterized. The transcript is spliced from 2 exons. Lineage: Eukaryota; Metazoa; Chordata; Actinopteri; Cyprinodontiformes; Poeciliidae. The record is from RefSeq and is a predicted model, not a curated record.
GGAUCUCCAGUGUUGUCCCUUUCUCAACCUUCCCCUGACCUCUGCUGUUCAGAGUGACAUACAAAAACGACACUUUGAGGUUUCGAACGUGCAAGUUCAGGGAGUGUGAUGGCGGAUAGACCGCGAAGAUCAAGAAACGUGAUUACAUUUGUCUCCGAAUAGAGCGCCGUAACUAUACCAACUCCAUCCACCAGCCCCGUGGGAGUUGCACUUUGGCAACAGUAGCCAUAGUGAGGAAAAACACCAAAGAUACGGAGCAACAUGCCGGCACUCCUUUGAGAGUUAAAACGUAGCAGUAUGCGAGCUGUUGGUGGAAAUAACAUCAGGAGAAAAUGAUAUGGAACCACAUGGGGAUUCAUAUUCAGCUCCUCUAUAAAUACAGAAGCAACAAAUGUAUGCGCUAUCCCACUAAAUGCGUGGGUUGUCAACACCUUCGACCUGAGCUCUUCCCCCUGCGAAGAAAAUAGUCCAGGACUUUUGCCGGCUGUACGCGGCACCGCCACACGCAAACAAGGUUGGCAGAUGGCGCCGCUUAGAAUAAGACCUGCAUACAGCCGCUCGCACCGCUGCGACGCAGCCGCCUAAAAAAUACAAUUACUGCAGCGCCAGCAGAUACUCAGGAUCAAAUGCAGGCUUAUUAAAACGCACCGCAGAACCCCAACCCGGCCAAUCAAGCAAAUACUUCUGGCACCACCUGGCUCGGAUUUCGGGGUCGGGCACCGGGCCGUAAAUCUAAACUCCAGCCCUGAUUGUAUUUCAGCAGCUUUUCGCGCUGCCAGCAUGCCGCCGCAGUUGGCGGCUGUUAUGACACAACCAGAGAGAGCGGCAGCCUGUUCUCCACCAGAACGUCGGGUAUUCUGCUUUCACAUGACGAACCUGACCUGUGCGGCGGGCUGGUGGAAACAAAAAUAAGCAAGGCCAAAACAGGGGCGCCGCUAAUAAUAACGAAACUGGAGCGUCCUCCACUCGCUUCGCCGUUCCGACGACGCGCUUCUGUCUUUCCAAGUAAACAGGACGUGGGGUCAUCAUUCUUCGGGCCGUUGCUAACGACGCAGAGGUUUUGAAAGUGAUGGCCGCAUGUCGAAUCUGAACCGCUGGGAUUGGAAGCUUCGUGUUGUGAUUGGACUUGGCGCUCUACACUCGAAGUUGCCAAAUAAAUGCACUACAAGGAGUGUAUACCUGGGGUGUGAUAUCAGCCACUGGUUUCAAAUCCCGCCAUGUAAAGACUCUCGUUUCCUCUAACAGUCCGAGGUCAAGAGGUGAAGACGGGUCAGUUUGUGUCCACGGUUACAGUCCGCGCCUCGUUGAUCCUAGCUAUAGAUCUGCGGUUCCUGGACAAAUCAGGGCACGACCUUCAAUCUGAAGAGCAGAGUUCACAUGCAGUUUGACACACAGUUCACUGUCAUUUCUGUUUGUUUCACAAUUUAGCUGUAAAAUCUACGUCCCAAAAAAAAAAAAAAACUGGCUUCCUCUUUCAACUGCCUCUAGUGACAUCACGAAAGUUGUAAGGCAACUGUAAAGAGCUUCUAAUUGUAUUUUUUUUCCUCUUCAUUUGCAUAUUUUAGUUGUAAUGUCUCCUUCAAAGUCAUGGAUUUCAUUUCAUUGUGGCAACAGAACACAGAGAAGACGAUAGAACUCCAACGCUUCAGAAACCAUCAGAACUCCCUAAUUGACCGCACUGAUAUUAACAUUAUGCAUUUCCCAGCCACAUACUUUCAUUUCAUUGCACAAUCAAGCAACUAAGUUACCUUUGUUAUUAUGAAAAUGCUGUAAAAAUCAAAUAUGACUUAAAAGAAAUUUGACUUUUACAAUUUGAUGCCUUGAAAUUGGGCCUUUGUCUCUUUAAGAAGCUUCUGCUCUUUCUGAAACUUCGCCUUCAGGAUGUCGUCACAACACUGCUUCAUUUUAACGUUCUUAGGAGCAUUGCAAUAAGAAGUAGUGCGUAUGUUCAGUGCACCAGGUAGAUUGCUAACUGCUGCUGCCGCUAGUCUGGAGGAGCAGAGUGAGGGGUUGCUCUGUGAGGCGGAUGUUUGGCUGAGUAUGUUUUUGAUGAGGAAGGUAACAUUAAAACAUGAGGAAAAAAAGCUGUUUUUGUUAUUGCGUUUUCAUGAAUGUUGGAAAUAAACAGUCAUAAAACAUU